RNAcentral lists this ribosomal RNA (486 nucleotides) under Dares murudensis. RNAcentral's name for it is "partial 16S ribosomal RNA". The stretch from base 349 to 486 matches the Rfam family "Bacterial large subunit ribosomal RNA", at positions 2473 to 2611 of the family's 2925-position model. Lineage: Eukaryota; Metazoa; Arthropoda; Insecta; Phasmatodea; Heteropterygidae. The record is from RNAcentral.
AAUGAUUAUUUUAAUGGCCGCGGUAUUUUGACCGUGCAAAGGUAGCAUAAUCAUUAGUCUUUUAAUUGAGGACUUGUAUGAAUGGUUGGACGAGAUAUUGGCUGUCUUUAAUUUAUUAUUAUAAUUUUAAUUUUUAGUUAAAAUGCUAGAAUUAUUUUAUGGGACGAGAAGACCCUAUAGAUCUUUAUUAUUUAUUUGAUUAAUUUAUUUAGGAUUUUUAUUAAUUAAUUUUUUAUAUUAUUUUGUUGGGGUGACAUGGGGAUAAUUUUUGUAACUCUUUAUUUUUUUUUACAUUUAUUUUUGUUUAAUUGACCUUUUAUUAUUGUUAUAAGAUUUAGAUACCUUAGGGAUAACAGCGUAAUUUUAUUUGAGAGUUCAUAUCGACAAUGAAGAUUGCGACCUCGAUGUUGGAUUAAGAUUAUUAUUGGGUGUAGAUGCUUAAUUAAUAGGUCUGUUCGACCUUUAAAUUCUUACAUGAUCUGAGUU